AAUGAUCAGUCACAUCAUUGUGAUUAAUAUGGAUUUUAUUUGUAUAACAAUAACAGUGUGUUCAUCAACAUAACAAAGUAUGAAGAGAGCGAAAACGAUAUUACGUAACUGUAGUCACGCGGACUGGUUGAUCAUGAGGCCAUGAACCAUUGAGCACAAAACCAAAUUUUGAUUGACAAGAUCCACCGAAUGUUAAUAGAUUUUCCUCCUUACUGGCAAACAUACAAAUGAUGAAAAACACAAUAUGUUGGAUUUUUUGGUAAUGAAGUGCUAUAUAAAGCUUCCAUUUGAUAUCUUUGACAUUCUUUACAAUAAAAACAAUAUUUAUAAAAUAAUUUUCUAUAUCUUUCAUUCGCAAUACUAUUUUUUGUUUUCAUCCAUUUUUUCCAAAAUAAAUCAGGCAUUUUCCAUUAAAUGUCAGUAUGAAAAUGAAUAAAGUUUGCAAUUUAAUCUGUACGCAAAUUAUUACAAUAAACUAUCAUGUUUUU
Molecule: long non-coding RNA, 488 nt
Organism: Xenia sp. Carnegie-2017
Lineage: Eukaryota; Metazoa; Cnidaria; Anthozoa; Malacalcyonacea; Xeniidae
Exons: 3
Source: RefSeq, a predicted model, not a curated record